CUAACUUAAAAGCCUCUUUUCUUAUGACUAGAAGAAACAGAUGACAUGUUCUUGGUGAAAAUAAAAAUCACCCGGGAACACAUAGUGCUAAAGAAAAAUGGAAAAAAGGCAAAAGGGAAUCAAAGUGGAUCUGUCUAGACUGUACAUUUCUUCAGGCCUAGGACUGGCCUUAUUCCUUUCAUGCCACCAGUGGCAAGCAUGUGUCAGCAAGUGAGCUGAAUGAAGGAACCCAAAGCUCUCUUAUUUUUAGGUAGGAAAAGUUUUGUUUCAUUUUCUAUUUAGGUAGCACGGACAAUGAAAUACAUUAGCCAGUAAAUCUGUUAUUAUUGGAUUAAAAGUUAAUGAUGCUUUCUUGUUAUCAAAGGUUGGAGACAAGAAAAGUUGGAGACAAGAAAUGAGGACUUCAUUGACUGGUCUUAGACGUGAUUAUGACAUACUGCUUUCAUUGCCUAUGCCUUGUUAUCUUCCUAGGCCCAGGACCCUGGUCACAUCUUAUGAAAUGACAGGGCCUGUCUGGCUGUAUGGUUUGCUCAUCUGGUCUGGAGUUGGGGAAAUUUGUGGCAACGCACAAGUCACAGUGGUAUUGCAGGUGAGCACGACAAAACCACACUAAUGUAAAUCACUUGCAGAUUUCACAGUACAGAAUUUAGAUAUCUCACAACAGACCCUGAUAUACAGAAUCUCACAGCUCGUUACAAUUCCAUGUUUAAGGACUUUAGUUCUCAUUGCGGCAUGGAACAAGAACUCAUUGCCCUGGUCUUCUUGGGACUUCACUGUCAUAAAUUAGACUUUAUCUAUUUAUUCUGUCAGUUCACUGUUGAAACAUGGUGAUCUAUCUCAAUACUUAGUGGCUUACCAUUUGCCCAUCUGUUGGAAACUGGAUAAAGAAGAUGUGGUUUUUCUACAAAAUGGAAUACUACUCAGCCGUAAAGAAUGAGAAAUUAGAGUCAUUCAUAGGAAAAUGGAUACAUAUUGAGGAUAUACUCCUAAUUGAAAUAAAUAAGUCACACAUGUGUAAAUACCGAAUAGUCUCUGUGGUGUGAAAAACUAUAAUAGUACACAAGAUCCUAUUGGGCUAAUUAAUAGUGUGAAAUAGGAAGAAAAGGGCUAAAGGUGUAGGGAAAGUGGGAAGGGUAGGGGAAAGGGAACAAGGGAAAAGAAAAGAAUAUGAGAAUAUGAAAAAAUGGAAAUAAAGUGUUUGUAAAUGGGGAGGGGCAGAGGGGGUGAAAGGAGGGCAGGGACAAGGGAAAAAAUGAGAAC
RNAcentral lists this long non-coding RNA (1260 nucleotides) under Fukomys damarensis (Damara mole-rat). RNAcentral describes it as "lncRNA (ENSFDAG00000024584.1)". Lineage: Eukaryota; Metazoa; Chordata; Mammalia; Rodentia; Bathyergidae. The record is from RNAcentral.